UUGAGAGAUUGGCAAAAAUUUUGGUGACAAUUUGAUAAAAUUAUUAUUGAUGCUAUAAUGAAUGAAUACAUAGGGGAGGGGGACAUGGAACAUAAGAUCUCUCAUCUUUUUAUAAAUGUCUUAAAAGCUGCAGAGGAUUCAUUGUGUAGGCUAUUUCUAGAUCAUUGAAUAAAUGGUUAUCAAAAGCUUCUCAGGGAAUUAAAAUAUCAUGGUAAGAUGAGUAGAUUCAUGAAUUUGUUCUCCAUUCAAUAAAUAUUUAUUGAUAAUUUUUAAGGACCAUGCUAAACAAGACAGAAAUCGAGACUCCACUUCCUUGGCACUUUUACAACUGUAGAAGUUGUGUCCACGGUCAACAAAUUAAAGACAGCCAUCGAGGUCACCAGAGGAAAGCAAAGGCAAUGAGAUAAACUCAGAGGAAAGAAACAUGGCUUGUGGGCUGGGCAAAAGCAAAGACCCCAGAGAUGGCUUCCCAGAGACUGCCAUGUAAGUACACAUUCAUGUCUAAAUUCUAAACGUUGGGGUUAAAACCCUUAAAAAUGUGAUUUGAGGGUUCACAUAAAACUGGGGUACAAAGCCACUGGCAGAAAAAAAUAAAAUCUGAUCCAAUUUAAUGGUUUUGACACAGCCUGGAGACUCUACCUGCUCUUUGAGCUCCUUAUCCUAGGUUUCCAAGUGAAUACCAACCUGCUUGCCUUGCUUCAUCUAGAAAUAGAGGCUAAAGAGAAGGGGUAUUGAAAAGUGGUUUUGAAAAUGGCACUUUUUAAAAUUUGUUUUGCUCUAAAGUUAAAAGAGGGCAGGAGUCUUGCAUCUAACAAAAUAAUCAUCUCAUGUGGUAAGGUUCACAACGUUUACAGUGAUGUGAUUUUUCCCAUAUUUAAAGUUCAUAUAUUUCUGUUACAACAAAAUAUUAUUUUAAUAAAAAUAAUGUUAUUUAAAAAUGAAUGGAUUCCCUUUUCAUGCGUGCCAUAAAUGUAACUGGGAAACACAUCAGGAGGGGAAUAUUAGAAUUAGAAACUAGAUAUCAGACACAGCAGUAGCAUUCUAUUCUCAUAAGUCAGUAGAUGCAUUCUCUACUAGAAAUUUAUUUCAAUAAUUAAUAUAACUUCUUUUUUGGAAAACCUCUAAACUUGAGAAAGUUAAAAUCAAUCUCUGUGUAUCAACUUGCUAACAGCUAACUUAGCACUUUGUCCUUAUGCGGUGUUUUUUUUUUUUUUUUUCCCAGUUACUGAUGGGCAAUCAGCAACAUUAAGCCUGCUGAGUAAUUGAAACAUUUUUUAAAUUAUAUGGAUCCCUAGAGAUGAUAUAUUGUAUUUAACCUUGGCAUUUGAUUUAAAUUACAGGAAUAUACUAGAUUAUGUUAUUGAAGACUUAAAAAUCAGUUUUUAUUUCUUAUCUAAUUUGUAUCUCAAGAUUGUUCAGUUCAGUUCAGUUCAGUCACUCAGUCGUGUCCGACUCUUU
RNAcentral lists this long non-coding RNA (1458 nucleotides) under Capra hircus (goat). Its description in RNAcentral is "lncRNA (ENSCHIG00010000341.1)". Lineage: Eukaryota; Metazoa; Chordata; Mammalia; Artiodactyla; Bovidae. The record is from RNAcentral.